UCAGUGUGUGUGUUAGUGGAAGCGUCUGGAAAGGCGCGCGAUACAGGGUGACAGCCCCGUACACAAAAAUGCACAUGCUGUGAGCUCGAUGAGUAGGGCGGGACACGUGGUAUCCUGUCUGAAUAUGGGGGGACCAUCCUCCAAGGCUAAAUACUCCUGACUGACCGAUAGUGAACCAGUACCGUGAGGGAAAGGCGAAAAGAACCCCGGCGAGGGGAGUGAAAAAGAACCUGAAACCGUGUACGUACAAGCAGUGGGAGCACGCUUAGGCGUGUGACUGCGUACCUUUUGUAUAAUGGGUCAGCGACUUAUAUUCUGUAGCAAGGUUAACCGAAUAGGGGAGCCGAAGGGAAACCGAGUCUUAACUGGGCGUUAAGUUGCAGGGUAUAGACCCGAAACCCGGUGAUCUAGCCAUGGGCAGGUUGAAGGUUGGGUAACACUAACUGGAGGACCGAACCGACUAAUGUUGAAAAAUUAGCGGAUGACUUGUGGCUGGGGGUGAAAGGCCAAUCAAACCGGGAGAUAGCUGGUUCUCCCCGAAAGCUAUUUAGGUAGCGCCUCGUGAAUUCAUCUCCGGGGGUAGAGCACUGUUUCGGCAAGGGGGUCAUCCCGACUUACCAACCCGAUGCAAACUGCGAAUACCGGAGAAUGUUAUCACGGGAGACACACGGCGGGUGCUAACGUCCGUCGUGAAGAGGGAAACAACCCAGACCGCCAGCUAAGGUCCCAAAGUCAUGGUUAAGUGGGAAACGAUGUGGGAAGGCCCAGACAGCCAGGAUGUUGGCUUAGAAGCAGCCAUCAUUUAAAGAAAGCGUAAUAGCUCACUGGUCGAGUCGGCCUGCGCGGAAGAUGUAACGGGGCUAAACCAUGCACCGAAGCUGCGGCAGCGACGCUUAUGCGUUGUUGGGUAGGGGAGCGUUCUGUAAGCCUGCGAAGGUGUGCUGUGAGGCAUGCUGGAGGUAUCAGAAGUGCGAAUGCUGACAUAAGUAACGAUAAAGCGGGUGAAAAGCCCGCUCGCCGGAAGACCAAGGGUUCCUGUCCAACGUUAAUCGGGGCAGGGUGAGUCGACCCCUAAGGCGAGGCCGAAAGGCGUAGUCGAUGGGAAACAGGUUAAUAUUCCUGUACUUGGUGUUACUGCGAAGGGGGGACGGAGAAGGCUAUGUUGGCCGGGCGACGGUUGUCCCGGUUUAAGCGUGUAGGCUGGUUUUCCAGGCAAAUCCGGAAAAUCAAGGCUGAGGCGUGAUGACGAGGUACUACGGUGCUGAAGCAACAAAUGCCCUGCUUCCAGGAAAAGCCUCUAAGCAUCAGGUAACAUCAAAUCGUACCCCAAACCGACACAGGUGGUCAGGUAGAGAAUACCAAGGCGCUUGAGAGAACUCGGGUGAAGGAACUAGGCAAAAUGGUGCCGUAACUUCGGGAGAAGGCACGCUGAUAUGUAGGUGAAGUCCCUUGCGGAUGGAGCUGAAAUCAGUCGAAGAUACCAGCUGGCUGCAACUGUUUAUUAAAAACACAGCACUGUGCAAACACGAAAGUGGACGUAUACGGUGUGACGCCUGCCCGGUGCCGGAAGGUUAAUUGAUGGGGUUAGCGGUAA
Molecule: ribosomal RNA, 1594 nt
Filed under: Escherichia coli
Lineage: Bacteria; Pseudomonadati; Pseudomonadota; Gammaproteobacteria; Enterobacterales; Enterobacteriaceae
Description: partial 23S ribosomal RNA
Rfam family: Bacterial large subunit ribosomal RNA
Source: RNAcentral